RNAcentral lists this ribosomal RNA (354 nucleotides) under uncultured bacterium. Its description in RNAcentral is "bacterial SSU rRNA". It matches the Rfam family "Bacterial small subunit ribosomal RNA", at positions 917 to 1271 of the family's 1533-position model. The record is from RNAcentral.
GGACCCGCACAAGUAGUGGAGCAUGUGGUUUAAUUCGAAGAUACGCGCAGAACCUUACCAACACUUGACAUGUUCGUCGCGACUUUAAGAGAUUAAAGUUUUCGGUUCGGCCGGACGAAACACAGGUGCUGCAUGGCUGUCGUCAGCUCGUGUCGUGAGAUGUUGGUUAAGUCCCGCAACGAGCGCAACCCUCACUUUUAGUUGCCAUCAUUAAGUUGGGCACUCUGAAAGAACUGCCAGUGAUAAGCUGGAGGAAGGUGGGGAUGACGUCAAGUCCUCAUGGCCCUUACGUGUUGGGCUACACACGUGCUACAAUGGCUAGGACAGACGCCGAAACCCGCGAGGGGGAGCCAA